AAACCUCUUUCAGCAGGGACGAAGCCUCACGGUGACGGUACCUGCAGAAGAAGCCCCGGCCAACUACGUGCCAGCAGCCGCGGUAACACGUAGGGGGCGAGCGUUGUCCGGAUUUAUUGGGCGUAAAGAGCUCGUAGGCGGUUCGGUAAGUCAGGUGUGAAAACUCUGGGCUCAACUCAGAGACGCCACCUGAUACUGCCGUGACUGGAGUCUGGUAGGGGAGUGUGGAAUUCCCGGUGUAGCGGUGAAAUGCGCAGAUAUCGGGAGGAACACCAGUGGCGAAGGCGGCACUCUGGGCCAGUACUGACGCUGAGGAGCGAAAGCGUGGGGAGCGAACAGGAUUAGAUACCCUGGUAGUCCACGCCGUAAACGUUGGGCACUAGGUGUGGGUCCUAACCAACGGGAUCCGUGCCGCAGCUAACGCAUUAAGUGCCCCGCCUGGGGAGUACGGCCGCAAGGCUAAAACUCAAAGGAAUUGACGGGGGCCCGCACAAGCGGCGGAGCAUGUUGCUUAAUUCGAGGCAACGCGAAGAACCUUACCUGGGUUUGACAUGUAGGGAAAAGCCGUGGAGACACGGUGUCCUUCGGGGCCCUACACAGGUGGUGCAUGGCUGUCGUCA
This 620-nucleotide ribosomal RNA is filed under the name uncultured Acidimicrobiia bacterium. RNAcentral describes it as "bacterial SSU rRNA". It matches the Rfam family "Bacterial small subunit ribosomal RNA", at positions 427 to 1057 of the family's 1533-position model. Lineage: Bacteria; Bacillati; Actinomycetota; Acidimicrobiia. The record is from RNAcentral.